RNAcentral lists this ribosomal RNA (317 nucleotides) under uncultured eukaryote. RNAcentral's name for it is "partial 18S ribosomal RNA". It matches the Rfam family "Eukaryotic small subunit ribosomal RNA", at positions 1470 to 1796 of the family's 1831-position model. The record is from RNAcentral.
CCCUUAGAUGUUCUGGGCCGCACGCGCGCUACACCGAUCAGUGCAACAAGCAUCCGUCCUUGGCCGACAGGCCCGGGCAAUCUUUGAACGCUGAUCGUGAUGGGGAUAGACUUUUGCAAUUUUUGGUCUUCAACGAGGAAUUCCUAGUAAACGCAAGUCAUCAACUUGCAUUGAUUACGUCCCUGCCCUUUGUACACACCGCCCGUCGCACCUACCGAUUGAAUGGUCCGGUGAAGCCUCCGGAUUGGCGUGCACCCUCGGGUGCUGCCGAGAAGUUGGCUAAACCUUACCAUUUAGAGGAAGGUGAAGUCGUAACA